This is a non-coding RNA of Myodes glareolus (Bank vole), 297 nucleotides long. Lineage: Eukaryota; Metazoa; Chordata; Mammalia; Rodentia; Cricetidae. The record is from RefSeq and is a predicted model, not a curated record.
AUGGAUCCACGACUGGCAGUAGAUGUACUGAAACUUUUCUGAUGGUGAAUUCCUGGGAGCAAUGGCACUACCAAAAGAUAUAGUGAUUUUUAAGGGCUCUGUGGUCCUUGGCACCUGUACAACAUACAGACCAAUGAAGAUAAAUUUCUCAUGUAUCAUUAUCUGGAACACAUAGUUUGACAGAAUCCAUGGCUAGCAAAUAUAAUGACAGUGCCUAGCUCAAAGGAAAUAGGUGAAAGGGUGAAAGAAGAUGGGCAAAAGGAAUAUAGAAGAGAAAGCAUGAUGUUGGGUGGUGAG